UACGGAGGAGGCAAGCGUUAUCCGGAAUUAUUGGGCGUAAAGCGUCCGCAGGUGGCUAUUCAAGCCUGCGGUCAAAGACUGGGGCUUAACCCUGGAAAGGCCGUGGAAACUGAAGAGCUAGAGUGCAGUAGGGGUAGAGGGAAUUCCCGGUGUAGCGGUGAAAUGCGUAGAGCUCGGGAAGAACAUCGGUGGCGAAAGCGCUCUGCUGGACUGCAACUGACACUCAGGGACGAAAGCUAGGGGAGCGAAUGGG
This 253-nucleotide ribosomal RNA is filed under the name uncultured bacterium. RNAcentral's name for it is "partial 16S ribosomal RNA". It matches the Rfam family "Bacterial small subunit ribosomal RNA", at positions 524 to 776 of the family's 1533-position model. The record is from RNAcentral.